RNAcentral lists this ribosomal RNA (283 nucleotides) under Necator sp. HH-2015. RNAcentral describes it as "partial 18S rRNA". It matches the Rfam family "Eukaryotic small subunit ribosomal RNA", at positions 1016 to 1301 of the family's 1831-position model. Lineage: Eukaryota; Metazoa; Nematoda; Chromadorea; Rhabditida; Ancylostomatidae. The record is from RNAcentral.
CGCCCUAGUUCUGACCGUAAACUAUGCCAUCUAGCGAUCCGAUGGGGUAUUGUUGCCUUGUCGAGGAGCUUCCCGGAAACGAAAGUCUUUCGGUUCCUGGGGUAGUAUGGUUGCAAAGCUGAAACUUAAAGAAAUUGACGGAAUGGCACCACCAGGAGUGGAGCCUGCGGCUUAAUUUGACUCAACACGGGAAAACUCACCCGGCCCGGACACCGUAAGGAUUGACAGAUUGAANGCUCUUUCUCGAUUUGGUGGUUGGUGGUGCAUGGCCGUUCUUANUUGG